GACGAACGCUGGCGGCGUGCUUAACACAUGCAAGUCGAACGGAAAGGCCCUGCUUUUGUAGGGUUCUCGAGUGGCGAACGGGUGAGUAACACGUGAGUAACCUGCCCUUGACUUUGGGAUAACUCCAGGAAACUGGGGCUAAUACCGGAUAGGAGCUCCUGCUGCAUGGUGGGGGUUGGAAAGUUUCGGCGGUUGGGGAUGGACUCGCGGCUUAUCAGCUUGUUGGUGGGGUAGUUGCUUACCAAGGCUUUGACGGGUAGCCGGCCUGAGAGGGUGACCGGCCACAUUGGGCCUGAGGUACGGCCCAGUCUCCUACGGGAGGCAGCAGUGGAGAAUAUUGCAGAAUGGGCGGAAGCCUGAUGCAGCAACGCCGCGUGCGGGAUGACGGCCUUCGGGUUGUAAACCGCUUUCGCCUGUGACGAAGCGUGCGUGACGGUAAUGGGUAAAGAAGCACCGGCUAACUACGUG
This 468-nucleotide ribosomal RNA is filed under the name uncultured bacterium. RNAcentral describes it as "partial 16S ribosomal RNA". It matches the Rfam family "Bacterial small subunit ribosomal RNA", at positions 28 to 507 of the family's 1533-position model. The record is from RNAcentral.